RNAcentral lists this ribosomal RNA (123 nucleotides) under uncultured bacterium. RNAcentral describes it as "partial 16S ribosomal RNA". The record is from RNAcentral.
UGUAAUCAAACCAUCCUUCACCCAAUUUACGCAGAAUCCAUACUUGAGGUAAGCCCCCUACAUGGGAAAAUCUACCUAUUUCUGGUAAAACCCACUCCCAUGGUGUAACGGGUGGUCCCUUUG